CGAGGGGUAACAGGGUUUUCGGACCGCUGACGACCGGCGCACGGGUGCGUAACGCGUAUACAAUCUACCUAUUACUAAGAGAUAGCCCAGAGAAAUUUGGAUUAAUAUUUUAUGGUAUUAUCGAUUGGCAUCGAUUGAUAAUUAAAGGUUACGGUAAUAGAUGAGUAUGCGUCCUAUUAGCUUGAUGGUAAGGUAACGGCUUACCAUGGCAACGAUAGGUAGGGGUCCUGAGAGGGAGAUCCCCCACACUGGCACUGAGACACGGGCCAAACUCCUACGGGAGGCAGCAGUAGGGAAUCUUGGUCAAUUGGCGAAAGCCAGAACCAGUCAUGCCGCGUGCAGGAUGAAGGCCCUACGGGUCGUAAACUGCUUUUAUUCGGGAAGAAAAAGUCUGUUUCCACAGACCUUGACGGUACCGAUUGAAUAAGGACCGGCCAACUCCGUGCCAGCAGCCGCGGUAAUACGGAGGGUCCAAGCGUUAUCCGGAUUCACUGGGUUUAAAGGGUGCGCAGGCGGCCAAGUAAGUCAGUGGUGAAAGCCUUCGGCUCAACCGGAGAAUUGCCAUUGAAACUACUUGGCUUGAGUGCAGCAGAGGUAGGCGGAAUGUAGCAUGUAGCGGUGAAAUGCAUAGAUAUGCUACAGAACACCGAUAGCGAAAGCAGCUUACCACACUGUAACUGACGCUGAGGCACGAAAGCAUGGGUAGCAAACAGGAUUA
RNAcentral lists this ribosomal RNA (718 nucleotides) under uncultured Bacteroidota bacterium. RNAcentral describes it as "bacterial SSU rRNA". It matches the Rfam family "Bacterial small subunit ribosomal RNA", at positions 63 to 780 of the family's 1533-position model. Lineage: Bacteria; Pseudomonadati; Bacteroidota. The record is from RNAcentral.